GAAAUGCGAUAAGUAAUGUGAAUUGCAGAAUUCAGUGAAUCAUCGAAUCUUUGAACGCACAUUGCGCCCGCCAGUAUUCUGGCGGGCAUGCCUGGCCGAGCGUCAUUUCAACCAUCAAGCCCCCGGGCUUGUGUUGGGGACCUGCGGCUGCCCGCAGGCCCUGAAAACCAGUGGCGGGCUCGCUGUCACACCGAGCGUAGUAGCAAUCACCUCGCUCAGGGCGUGCUGCGGGUUCCGGCCGUUAAACAGCCUUACAAAACCCAAGGUUGACCUCGGAUCAGGUAGGAAGACCCGCUGAACUUAAGC
This 306-nucleotide unclassified non-coding RNA is filed under the name plant metagenome. RNAcentral describes it as "partial contains 5.8S ribosomal RNA, internal transcribed spacer 2, and large subunit ribosomal RNA". The stretch from base 1 to 105 matches the Rfam family "5.8S ribosomal RNA", at positions 50 to 154 of the family's 154-position model. The record is from RNAcentral.